This 253-nucleotide unclassified non-coding RNA is filed under the name Amphimedon queenslandica. RNAcentral describes it as "replication factor C subunit 3-like, transcript variant X2". Lineage: Eukaryota; Metazoa; Porifera; Demospongiae; Haplosclerida; Niphatidae. The record is from RNAcentral.
CUUCAAUGAUGAUCAGGUUGUCCCUGAUUGUGAGUAGGAGGUUUUCUUACGUGAAACAGCUGCAAUGAUCAUCACAGAGCAGAGCCCUAAGAGGUUACUUGAAGUAAGAGGACGUUAUUAUGAGCUGUUGACUCAUUGUAUACCACCUGAUAUUAUUUUUAAAAGGAUAUUGAAUGAGCUGGUUGCUAACUGUGAUGGUACAUUGAAAGCUGAAGUGACUCAAUUAGCAGCUCAGUAUCAAGCUCAGUCACAA